Molecule: non-coding RNA, 31 nt
Filed under: Homo sapiens (human)
Lineage: Eukaryota; Metazoa; Chordata; Mammalia; Primates; Hominidae
Source: RNAcentral
UCCAGGGAGAUGACCCUCAGCAAUUUGUGGU